RNAcentral lists this ribosomal RNA (508 nucleotides) under uncultured bacterium. RNAcentral describes it as "partial 16S ribosomal RNA". It matches the Rfam family "Bacterial small subunit ribosomal RNA", at positions 28 to 523 of the family's 1533-position model. The record is from RNAcentral.
GAUGAACGCUAGCUACAGGCUUAACACAUGCAAGUCGAGGGGAAACGAUAUUGGAAGCUUGCUUCCGAUAGGCGUCGACCGGCGCACGGGUGAGUAACGCGUAUCCAACCUGCCCAUCACUUGGGGAUAACCUUGCGAAAGUAAGACUAAUACCCAACGACGUCUCUAGAAGACAUCUGAAGGAGAUUAAAGUUUUAACGGUGAUGGAGUGGUAUGCGUCUGAUUAGCGUGUUGGCGGGGUAACGGCCCACCAAGGCGACGAACAGUAGGGGUUCUGAGAGGAAGGUCCCCCACAUUGGAACUGAGACACGGUCCAAACUCCUACGGGAGGCAGCAGUGAGGAAUAUUGGUCAAUGGGCGAGAGCCUGAACCAGCCAAGUAGCGUGCAGGAAGACGGCCCUAUGGGUUGUAAACUGCUUUUAUAAGGGAAUAAAGUGGGAGUCGUGACUCCUUUUGCAUGUACCUUAUGAAUAAGGACCGGCUAAUUCCGUGCCAGCCGCCGCCGUAA